This is a long non-coding RNA of Mus musculus (house mouse), 1551 nucleotides long. RefSeq annotates it as predicted gene, 46923. The record is from RefSeq and is a predicted model, not a curated record. The transcript is spliced from 3 exons. NCBI's taxonomy places the organism in Eukaryota, Metazoa, Chordata, Mammalia, Rodentia, Muridae.
ACGUCACAGAAGAGGAGGGCAGAAAGAAUCUAAGAGUGGGGAGGGGAGCUGUGAAGUGCUGUCUUCUGGAUCUGACAUGGCUGUCACACCCACAAGCUCACAGCAGCUCUGGUUGCCUGCCGGAAGUCAAGUCAGUCAACAGACAGAACCAACUGGAUGAAUAGGUUAAUGAAGAGAAAAAGAAAAGGACACGAAGCCGGCUUGGAUGGUAGAGGAUGAUGUCCCCAAAAGAUUCAAAUGUGACCCGGAUAUGUCUGCAUGAAGUCUCGACUUUAAGGGGAGAGCCUUCCCAGGUACUCACGGAAGCAUCCCAGGGUCUCCAUGUAUGCAACCUCAGCUUUAGAGCUGUGUCCAGACCCAGGAGGCACCACAGCGCCAUUUGGAAAGUCCCAGAAGGACCUGCCAACAGCCAUCCCAGAGAAUGUUCACUCAGCUAUCCUGUUUUGUCAAGUGCUGUGGCAAAAGUCAGCUGUGUGCUUUACAGACAGAUAAGUGAAGAUAUAUAUAUAUAUAUUGGUGAGGGGCUCUUGCUAUGUAUCAGAAUGAGCAGGCGGGGACACUGCCGCAACCUGUGUAGGAACAGGUAGGCGAUGGUGCAAGUCCUGGAUCCUGGCCAAGUAUGCAUUCAGGAUCCAGAGACUCUGCUCGCCUGUACCACUGGCUAGAUGCAACACUCCCUGUCAUGUGUCCCUUGCCCCCAAGGGUCCUACUGUUUAAACUUUUUGGUUCUACUUAUCCCAUUGGUUGCCAUGAGAGAGCUGUAUCUCACUUCGCUAAAUGAAUAACUCAAGGUAAUUGAGUCAGACUGCCCAAGCCCUAAAACCAGACUGCUUGCUUAGUAAAAUCAUUUAGAAAUGCCAAACAGCCCACAGUGGAGAGAGAAAUCAGGUGACAGGCUAAGAAAAGAUAGAGAGAGGCGGGCACGAUCUGAACAGGCUUUCUACGCCCAUCGGAUGCUCGCCUCCCUUCAGCUCUGAGCUCAAGGGAAUCACAGGCUCUGGGUGUCUAACUGACAAUCAUAUGACUCCAGUGGGCGUGUCUUCUAAAACAGCUCCUAAUGAGUUUUCAGAGCACAGCUGCAGAAAUGCUGAAAGGAUACUUGCGAGACCAGUUUUUGGAUGCGUUUUAAAAAUCAACUUCCAGUUUUCAUGAGCUGGGCAGGGUUACUGCCCCACCCACCCCGCCCCACCCAGCCCUACUCCAGAAACACAAUGUGUUCAAAAAUCCAUUUUCUGCCAAGCAUGGUGAUGUGCACCUGGAAUCCUAGCACUGGGGAGGCAGGGGGAGCAGGACUUGUAAAUUCAUCCUUAGUUACAUAGAGAAUUUGAGGCAAGCCUUGGCUACACAUACCUUGUCUCCAAAAAGAAAAAAAUAAUAAUUUUCAGUGUUUAGAAAAGAUCUGGGCUGUGUUUGUUUUUGCUUCUGAGAUCAAGCGACUGAUUCAAAAGAGCCUGGCAAUGCAGUAGAGCCUCCACCCGUUCUAGGCAUCGCUAUCAGGAAGGCUUCCAUUUUGUGUUUUGUUUUGUUUUGUUUUGUUUUGUUUUGUUUUGU